AAACAACAAUUCUAACUCUGACAGCAGAAGCAGACAAAGAGCUAAGCCUAUGCACUGUUCAGGGCAUAAUUCAGGAUAAUAAUUUCAGCUCUCUUGUUUCUUAUACACACCAAGGGAUCCUUUGAAUUGUUGCACUUUGUGACAAAUCCAACAGAAGUGGACAAUGAAAGGAUGUGACAAAGUCAAAAAUAAUAUGCAUCCCAUUAGGAUGGGAAGAACCUACAGAGGUCUGAAGUUAAGAGUAGUACUGAGCAUUCAUGUCUGUGUCUGCUGGUUGAAAUGAAUUCUCAUCAUUUGCAGCUUACUCCUCCUCGGGCUGUUCUCACCAGAUGAUGAGAAUUUUGCAUGUCCAAUGAACAGUCUGUGAUAAAGAAGAUUUAGGAUGAGGAGAAAGAAAUGAGUGCAGGUUUAUGAUUUCAGAUACAUCCACCCAGUAGAUGAUAAAUCUGGAUACAUUAACCGGGUGUUGGACUGUAGAGAAGAAGAUAACGAGUCUCUAUCCUGUCUGCAGAUGCUGCCUAAUUUGCACAUGGAGAGAGCUUUCUGGUAUUGUGGAAGAUAAGCUCAUGGAGGAACUGGACAAUGACACUCACCCAAGAAACAUGGCAGGUCCAAGAUUCUAAACCACCAAAAAGAAAACACCUAUUCCAUUUCCCCUCAUCUGAUGUAUGCAACGAUUCAUGAUGAUAUGUCCUGUUCUUGGAUCAUCCUACAGGAUAAAGUAUACAGACAAUGCAUUCAUCAAACAAGUGUUCCUUUUCCCCAUAAACUUCUCAGAAUCUAAGUUGAAACUGUGUAAAGAAUCGUUUGUUUCUUUUUCCUGAAAGCAAAUCCUUGAUCCAACUUCUGAAUUUACAGUCCAUGUCAUUAGAUCUCAGAAAGCUGUAGUCAUUCCGAACAAACAGAGUGGCAGACAUGCACCAAUUUUCUUGUGCCUCCAUAGAUCCAGGAACAUUUCUUCUCUCUGAUGCCACUCCAUCAUUCUUCUCCUUUUGGUUCUCGCUGCCAUAGGAUGGAUGCUACUUGACGAAAAAACUUGUUUUCUUUCUCAUCAAGUUUUGGCGGAGCGGCUGGGCUGAGCAUGGAUUUGCACAGGGUUCAGUGAUGAAGGAGAUGAUGCACCAAUUAUGGCUAUGACUGAUUCAUGAUUCAGCUUUGUUCUUAUCAUUUUCUUCAACUCUUAUGUAAUUAGUUUCUCAGCAAUUGGAAAGGAAGAUUGUUAUUAA
Long non-coding RNA from Musa acuminata AAA Group (dessert banana), 1226 nucleotides. RefSeq lists it as uncharacterized. The transcript is spliced from 2 exons. The record is from RefSeq and is a predicted model, not a curated record. Lineage: Eukaryota; Viridiplantae; Streptophyta; Magnoliopsida; Zingiberales; Musaceae.